Molecule: unclassified non-coding RNA, 208 nt
Filed under: Limonium wrightii
Lineage: Eukaryota; Viridiplantae; Streptophyta; Magnoliopsida; Caryophyllales; Plumbaginaceae
Description: ITS1
Source: RNAcentral
GUCAAAAACUGCACAGUUAAGCCACAUGUUAACUUGUUUUUAACCAUUCCAUGUUGUUUGUAGGAAGGUUGCCUUGGCUGCCUCCUACGAUUAACAUGAACAAUUUUCGGCGCGGAAUGCGUCAAGGAAAACGGACAUUAACGUAAGGCUAGCCCUCUUGCUGCUCUUUGGUUGUAUGGAGGGUGUUGCAUCGUGGAAAUAUUUGGUU